Molecule: RNA transcript, 3863 nt
Organism: Panicum virgatum (switchgrass)
Lineage: Eukaryota; Viridiplantae; Streptophyta; Magnoliopsida; Poales; Poaceae
Exons: 15
Source: RefSeq, a predicted model, not a curated record
CAUUCCCCCCGAUCCCCCGCUCACCUGAAGGAACAGUUGUGCUGGUUGGUCCAGUUCGAGCGCGUGGGUUUAGUCAGAGGCUUUGGAGCUCGCCCCGCGGGUUUCGCGGGAGGGUCGUUGCCGGGCUGAUGCGCGCGCCCAUGGCCGCGGCGCGUUGGCGGCGGGCGGCGGCGGCGGCGGCGGCGGCGGCGGCUGCGGUGCUGGUGCUGGUGAUGGGCGCGGGGCUUCCCGCGGGUUGCGCCGCGCAGGAGGGGGAGGAGGUGGUGGUGGCCAGCUACGGGCAGGGCAGGCUCUGGCUUAAGCCCUACGACUGGACCUACCUGCGUGUUGAGUUGCCGCCCUCGUUUUCCUCGGUCACCAUGGAUUUCGAAACUGACAUGGACAUUCAGAGGGAGCACAUGAAAGGCAUUCCAAGAAGCGAGCUUGCUAUUAUCUGUUUGAUGAAUUCCAACCCUCCUAUUCCUGAUAUAUCAGAAUCUUAUCUAGACAGUUUAUUAUCAAACUUUCUCCCAUCUGGACCUUUUGGCAACGGCAAUAUAAUUAAUCAGUCAAAUCUGGCGCAAUGCUUACCAUUUCAGAAAAACAUAACAGUUGUGCGAACAAAUGACCAGAUAUCUCCAGGGGUAUGGUACAUUGGGUAUUUUCAUGGCAUCGGCCCUGCUCGCACACAAUCAAAGAUGAUUAGCAGAGGAAAAGCACGCUUGGUGAGCACCCACAUUACUGUAAGAGAAUGCCCUACUUCAGCAUUUUGGGGACCCUACUGCAACCAAACUGUUGAAAUGAUUGGUUGUUCUCAACCUUCAAUAGAUAAUAAUAACUCAAGGAAUCUUCUAGAUCUGAACAUUGAGAGGAGAAACAGUUGGUAUCCUAGAGAGCAUAAUAGGCGUAUUAAUAUCCUAUCUCAGAGUCAAUUAGUAGAAAAGGAAGUUGGAUCUAAUGUUACAGCCCUGGCGAGAAUGGAAAACUCAGUCACUUGUUCCAUUUCUAAUAACUCAUUAUGCGUCAGGCAAGGCGACAUGAAGUUCUACUUCUUGGAUGUAGUCGACUUAGCAUUGCAGUUUGAAAUUACAGCUGCAAACUUUGGAGUUAUAGAGCCAUCCUUGAUUUGUUACCUGCGGUAUAAUGCCUUUCCUCAAAGGGAUCUUCAUGACUAUUCAGGUGAUAUCAGCCACGAUCCUUUGGUUGUGAAGUUACCAAAUAUUGGGCGUUGGUAUAUUGCUAUUGAGACUGUCAAUAAAACACAGAUGAAUAAUACAGCAUCAAAGCCUGUUCUAGAUACUAUGUGUUUCUCACUGAAGUGGCAAUUGACUGGAUGCUUGAAUGGAAAAACUGGAACAAAUUGCUCUUGGGAGGUAUACGGACUCCAGAGGGUUCCAAGGAGAAGUCCUUCUAUCCCGUUUGAGUCAUAUUAUAUUCCUAGUGAUGAAAGGGCAUCUCUGGAAGAUAGCCACUUCUAUUUGGAGCAAUUUCUAAGCAACUCAUCCCAUGAGCAGAUUGCAUGGACAUAUUUCUUUUUGGAUGUUCCUCGAGGUUCAGCCGGUGCACUUAUCCAUGUCCAGCUUAAGUCAGAUAAAGAAUUGAACUACGAGUUGUACUCGAAAUAUGGUGGCUUGCCAUCCAACGAUAUUUGGGAUUAUUAUGCGAGUAGGACAAGCAGCAGUAAUAGCUCGGUAUUUUUUUCAUUACAGAAUUCCACGAAUUCAGACAUGGAUCUAUCAAUUUUCUAUGCUAAAGAGGGAACUUGGUGCUUUGGGGUGAAGCAUCCAACUGAUACGGCAAAUUCUCAGACGUAUAUGUCUGUAUCCCUUCAGGGUUGCCAUAGAAAUUGCAAUCAGAAAGGUGUGUGUCAUUCCUCAGUUGAUGAAAGUGGGCUGACAUUCUACAGUUUCUGCACAUGUGAUCGUGAUCAUGGUGGGUUUGAUUGCAGCGAUGAGCUAGUUUCCCCUAAUGGGCACAUUUGGCAGUCUGUCUUUCUAAUCGCCUCAAAUGCUGCAGCUAUUUUACCUGCCUUCUGGGCCCUCAGGCAAAAGGCAUUUGCAGAAUGGAUUCUUUACACAUCUAGUGGAAUUUCCAGUGCAUUAUACCAUUCAUGUGAUGUGGGAACCUGGUGCAUUCUAUCAUUUCGUGUAUUACAGUUUUUAGACUUCUGGCUUUCCUUCAUGGCUGUUGUGGGUACAUUCAUAUGUAUGGCUACAAUUGAUGAAGCUUCAAAGCGAGCAAUGCAUACAGCUGUUUUUAUCCUCACAGCUCUUUUAGCUGCAACUGGUGCAACAAGAUCUGCAAAUAUUGGAAUCGUCAUUGCGAUUGGUUCUCUUGGCCUGCUUAUGGGAUGGUUAUUGGAAUUCUCUACAGCAAGAAGAUUUAUAUGCUGGCCCUGGCAAAUUAAUCUUAGUAUGCCUCAAAGUUGGGCAAACUUUGGGACUUUGUUCCGGAAUACUCUGGAGGUGUUGAACAAACGCUUCCGUUGGAUAUUUCUACUUUUGGGUUUCAUCACAUUAUCAUUUGCGGCUACGAGCUGGAAACUGGAAUCGAAUAGCAACUACUGGAUUUGGCACAGGCAACCAAACCGUGGUGCUGAAACCUUUUCCGUGCGCCUUUUGCACUUGUUUCCUUGCCUGAAGCCACCAAUUAGCAAGCAGCUGGACUCUGACAGGCACAAAUGCUACAGUUCGAUGUGGCAGAGAGAACCCUAAACUACGUCUCUCGAACAUGUGCAAAACUGAGCAUAAGAUGGUUGAUGGUUUCUGGCUCCUGUGCACAGAGGGCAGAGUUGUUGCUAUCCCACGGGCCAUGACGACGUAGCCAGAUAGGACUCCAAGAGCGACCAAGCACAUUAUAAGAGGGCCUGGGAUAUUCGUUGACCAGGGAGCCCGUUCAUGAGAAUUAGUGCUUGGUGAUCCAGUUUGUCCAAACACUCAGAAAGCCCAGAAAUUGGAGGUCGGAGGAAGACCCAUGACACUGACAAAAGCUUUGGCGAUGUCCAGUUUUAUGAGGAGACUUGGAAUGUGUUCGUCAUGCAGAAUCUUUGCAGCUCCCUGGAUGUACCUGAAGUUGUCUUGGGUACGUCUGUUUUUUUAUGAAAGCGCUUUGGUUGUGUCUGACCAUAAGUUUCAGGGGUACGGAAGCGGUCCGCCAAUGCUUUGGAGAAGAGCUCACUGAAGCUGUCAAUUAAACUUAUUGAUCUAUUGCCAUUCAACAUUGUUGGCUCUUGCUUCUUGGGUAUCAUUAGGGAGUUAUUCAGGUGAUGAAAACUUCUACUGUCCAUCUGAGCCAGCAUGUUGAGAACCCUGAUCACAUCACGUUUGAUGAUUGGCCAUGCGGUUUUGCAGAAGUAACAUCAUGUGGCACAUAACUAUAUAUACUUCUUCAUUUUUCUUCUUGUGCUCAAUGCGGGUAAACUCAAGGAACCGCAGUCCAGAGUCAAACUAUGAGUUAACGAGGCAAGACUCCUUGCCCAGGUCAGAACAAAGGGAGACCUAGCUAGUAAGGAACGAGGGUGAUCACAAUCCACGUCCUUCUCAUAGCGAUUUAAAUGUUUAUGUACGAUGGUUUCAUACAAGAAUUGGCUGAGUUGGAUUUUGGCUGGAUUCGUUUUUGGUGGAGUUGGGUUAGAUUCGUUCAACGGUAUGCAGGGCUGUCUGUGUAGGUACAUGGCUUCUGUUGCCGUCGGGGCGCUCAAUAACUUGAACAAUCGUAGAAGUGGGAUUUGGGAACUUCACCGUCAGCUGCAUCGCAUGAAAAUUGUAAAUAGCGUGUUGCUGGCAAAACAUCUUUUUGUGGGACGUUCGUUACAUGUAAAUGUGUUGUAAGCAUACGCUAUUCCAAAAUGGAACAAACCUGUUUGAGAAUUUUGCUUUCGUGCA